CCUACGGGCGGCAGCAGUGGGGAAUAAUGGGCAAUGGGCGCAAGCCUGACCCAGCAACGCCGCGUGAAGGAAGAAGGCUCUCGGGUUGUAAACCUCUUUUGUCAGGGAAGAGGAGAAGACGGUACCUGACGAAUAAGCCACGGCUCACUACGUGCCAGCAGCCGCGGUAAUACGUAGGUGGCAAGCGUUGUCCGGAUGUACUGGGUGUAAAGGGCGUGUAGCCGGGUUGACAAGUCAGAUGUGAAAUCCUGCGGCGUAACCGCAGAACUGCAUUUGAAACUGUUGAUCUUGAGUACUGGAGAGGCAGCCGGAAUUCCUAGUGUAGCGGUGAACUGCGUAGAUAUUGGGAGGAACACCAGUGGCGAAGGCGGUCUGCUGGACAGCAACUGACGGUGAGGCGCGAACGCGUGGGGAGCGAACAGGAUUAGAUACCCGUGUAGUC
RNAcentral lists this ribosomal RNA (442 nucleotides) under uncultured bacterium. RNAcentral describes it as "partial 16S ribosomal RNA". It matches the Rfam family "Bacterial small subunit ribosomal RNA", at positions 338 to 795 of the family's 1533-position model. The record is from RNAcentral.